RNAcentral lists this long non-coding RNA (515 nucleotides) under Heterocephalus glaber (naked mole-rat). RNAcentral's name for it is "lncRNA (ENSHGLG00000043864.1)". The record is from RNAcentral. Lineage: Eukaryota; Metazoa; Chordata; Mammalia; Rodentia; Bathyergidae.
GGCGGGUCCUUGGGGCCUCCUGGGUGCCCGCCGCUCGCCAACCUGAAACAGUAGGAGACCGUGAUUGGGCGGGAGCGUGCGGGAUCCGAGGGCGGGGCCUGCGGGGGCGGGGCCUGCAACAGACGGCUGAGGUCGGACCGGACCGGACUGGACCGGACCGCCGCGGGGACCCGGCCCGGGUCGGAGACAGCGCGGCAGGACCUCUGGGGUGGAAGAUAGGAAGUGCUGCUCCUCAGGCAGCCCAGGGAGCUGCUAACCGGAAGUCCCGCCUGGGAGGAAGCCCUGGUGGCCACAGGUGCAGAUGCAGCAGGACUGAGUGUGGCAGCACAGGGGAUGCCUGCCUCCGCCAUCUCUGCAGCCCCUGAGCUGCAUGGCUUCCCUGGGCCCCGGCACUCUGGCCCCCAGCAGGCUCUCGAGCCGGAGAACCAUGUGCUGGGUCAGCACCAUCAGGGCUCAGAGCCAGGCUGUGGAGAGCACCAGGGUGCCGGGUCCUGAUCCUGCCCGCCCACCCGGGG